RNAcentral lists this long non-coding RNA (2375 nucleotides) under Toxoplasma gondii VEG. Lineage: Eukaryota; Apicomplexa; Conoidasida; Eucoccidiorida; Sarcocystidae. The record is from RNAcentral.
GAAUUGCGUCGGGGUGUCCUGUUCUGGGUAAGUCACAGGGCAUGAAACCAAAGGAAGGUGACACUGCUUGUAGAGGGGAGAAACAAGUCGGCAGUUUCUCAGGGGAAGAAUACGGAAAAACGAAAAAGGAAGAGGAAGGGCGUUGCAACAUUGCUAGCUUUUUCUUUGGGGCAAGGUAACUGGAAACAGAUGGGGAAGAGUUCUCUUGAUCCGUUAUCGGAGCCACCUGCAGCGCGGUACAUUCCCGAUGUUGAAUGGGUUGGCGAAGAUGAUCUACUAUCGCAUCUGUUUGUCCUUCGUUUCUUUCAAUGGUAGAACACACCGGGCUCGUAUCCGUUCCGUCUCUUCGGUGCUGGAGGCGUCUGCUGCAUUCUCUCCAAAUGCCUUCUUGCGUACAAACUUGUCUGACAGAUGCGGAGAACGAUGAGAACGAACAUGUUGCACCUUUGUUGCAGGAAAACGGUAAAGAACAAGGAAAGUCCGGUAGCGGUCGUUUUCGCCUCCUUUUUUCCGUACAGGAUUCACCUUGAGCUCUCCCUUCCUCCAAGCUGGUCUCAGAGGUCACACUUGCAGCGUCCCCUGCCCAGUGCUGCAGCGCUUUUUCUGAGAGUAUGUUUUGGAGUGUAUCUGCACCUCUUCCGAGGAUAUUCACAAUCCCUUCUCCAACGACAGACAGAAAUCUCUCCGUCUCUGACCACUGGUGCUCAUCUUUUUCCCCUCCUGGUGAGUGCGAAAGGCUCCUGCUGGCAGAACGGAGUGUUUCCGGCUGUGAUGAAAGUUCCACCGCAGUUUCGGCCUCUCCCAUCUCCAACGUAACGUUUUCACCGUUUGGGGGAGAGGGUUCAGACAGUAGGUUAGAGCAUAUGAAUUCCUCGGCCGAACAAAUCGAUUCAGGUGCAGAUCGAUACCUACGGUGGUUUGUACAUACAGACUGUUUUUCUUUCAGUCCGCUCUUCUCACGAAGAGAUGAAGUAUCUAGUAAGAGCGGAGGCAGUCUGGAAACGGUUGUCAAGGAGACUCUUCUUCGUUUGGUUCGCCUUCGCCUUUCUCGGACUACCUCCCUGGGAGGAGUAACACCCUCUAUCCGUGCGUUCUUACAGGAACUUGAAUUUUCGCUGUCACACCUUGUAUCUGCCUCCACAGAGCCAGAAACGCUUUCAACCCCCUUCAAAACGCGACUACUUCCCGGUGAUUCAUCUCUGGCGUCGGAAGCCGAACUGUUUUGUCGAAGAAUAUGGCGGCAGUCCGGCGCCUCACCGUGAGCGCUUUCAUGGAACACUGAUGGUAUUUUCUUGUCUUCACCUACGGGAGACUCCUCGUCCUGAUCCAUACGUUUGGUUCCCGAGCUACUGACCCUCUCGGCGUUGUUGUGAAAGUACUGCAGAAUGUCGUUUUCUGAAGCUCUGCCGGACUCGGUUGCUGCAAAUGUCGUGAAAGCUGACGCUUCUUGACAAAACAACGGUCGUUGUGCUUCGCCCUCUUCGGCACCUGUCGUGUCUUCGGGAGACACGAAGACGCAAAACGAAGGUGACAACGGCGCGUGUGCAUCGUCUUCUAAAUCACACGGCGUCUUCCGACCAGAAAGGCGUCCUUAUCGAGGUACGCCAGUUGUUUUCCGCCUGUCUUUCUCUACUCAUGUUUUUUUUCAUAACGUGCUCACCACAUCGACCGCAUGGGCGUCGCUUCUUGCAAACGCAUCCAAUCCGGCCGUCUCUUCUGCUGGCAACUUCUUUAGACCUUUUUCUCACCAUCCUUCUCGUUGUUCGGCGUUUCGUCCCCUUCGGUCUCUCGUCUCGUUCCAGAAGAGAAGUGGCGCCUUGUCGCUCUCUCUCCUCCACCAGCAACGCAGAAAAUGAGCAUAUUGCUUGUUUUCCGAACUCCCCCGUGACAUUCUCUACAGACCCUUCACUCACAGCAGUUUUCUGGCAUUCCAGAGGCUGGACUCGCGAUGCGGAAUCGACAUCUUCUCCCGCUCUUGGAGACUGCAAGUCUUCUGUCGUUCGCAGUUCACCGACUGGGAUAUUUACUGGAGAACUCCUGCCUGACCCAGACUUUCCUGUUGGAAAGCUUGUUACAGGGACUGACGCACAUUUCCGCUCUUUUGCUAAUCCAGUGUCACUGCUUUCACCUCGAAGAUCCGUCUUCUGCUGUAGAUGACUUGAGCUGCUGCAUAAAGGAAAACAACUCGCGUGAAAAUGCAGCCACCGUCUGCAUCCUGUCCUGUUCGAUGUGAUGGGAGAGUUCAUAGCCUCUCUUGUUACUACUGAGGUUCGUGGGUGCCGGUGCGUGAAGGCCCAGUUGCCGCCAGUGUGUCCCCCUGAAGUUGCUGACGUUUUCCGGUGUUUGGAGCAGAACAUCCCGGAAAUGAAGAGAGG